UCUGGUGACGAUGGCGGAGGGGACACACGCGUACCCAUCCCGAACACGACCGUUAAGCCCUCCAGCGCCGAUGGUACUUGGACCGAAGGGUCUUGGGAGAGUAGGUCGUUGCCAGGC
Molecule: ribosomal RNA, 117 nt
Filed under: Tepidibacillus fermentans
Lineage: Bacteria; Bacillati; Bacillota; Bacilli; Caryophanales; Bacillaceae
Source: RNAcentral